UACACCACACCACCUUGAGAAUGCCUGAUCUUGUCUGGUCUCUGAAGCUAAGCAGGGUCAGGCCUGGUCAGCACUUGGAUGGGAGACUGCAAGGAAUAUGAGGUGCAACAGUGG
RNAcentral lists this ribosomal RNA (114 nucleotides) under Periophthalmus magnuspinnatus. The record is from RNAcentral. Lineage: Eukaryota; Metazoa; Chordata; Actinopteri; Gobiiformes; Gobiidae.